GACGAACGCUGGCGGCGUGCUUAACACAUGCCAGUCGAACGGAAAGGCCCUGCUUUUGUGGGGUGCUCGAGUGGCGAACGGGUGAGUAACACGUGAGUAACCUGCCCUUGACUUUGGGAUAACUUCAGGAAACUGGGGCUAAUACCGGAUAGGAGCUCCUGCUGCAUGGUGGGGGUUGGAAAGUUUCGGCGGUUGGGGAUGGACUCGCGGCUUAUCAGCUUGUUGGUGGGGUAGUGGCUUACCAAGGCUUUGACGGGUAGCCGGCCUGAGAGGGUGACCGGCCACAUUGGGACUGGGAUACGGCCCAGACUCCUACGGGAGGCAGCAGUGGGGAAUAUUGCACAAUGGGCGGAAGCAUGAUGCAGCAACGCCGCGUGCGGGAUGACGGCCUUCGGGUGGUAAACCGCUUUCGCCUGUGACGAAGCGUGAGUGACGGUAAUGGGUAAAGAAGCACCGGCUAACUACGU
Molecule: ribosomal RNA, 467 nt
Filed under: uncultured bacterium
Lineage: Bacteria
Description: partial 16S ribosomal RNA
Rfam family: Bacterial small subunit ribosomal RNA
Source: RNAcentral